This 497-nucleotide ribosomal RNA is filed under the name uncultured bacterium. RNAcentral describes it as "partial 16S ribosomal RNA". It matches the Rfam family "Bacterial small subunit ribosomal RNA", at positions 28 to 507 of the family's 1533-position model. The record is from RNAcentral.
GACGAACGCUGGCGGCGUGCCUAAUACAUGCAAGUUGAGCGAUGAAGAUUGGUGCUUGCACCAAUUUGAAGAGCAGCGAACGGGUGAGUAACGCGUGGGGAAUCUGCCUUUGAGCGGGGGACAACAUUUGGAAACGAAUGCUAAUACCGCAUAACAACUUUAAACAUAAGUUUUAAGUUUGAAAGAUGCAAUUGCAUCACUCAAAGAUGAUCCCGCGUUGUAUUAGCUAGUUGGUGAGGUAAAGGCUCACCAAGGCGAUGAUACAUAGCCGACCUGAGAGGGUGAUCGGCCACAUUGGGACUGAGACACGGCCCAAACUCCUACGGGAGGCAGCAGUAGGGAAUCUUCGGCAAUGGACGAAAGUCUGACCGAGCAACGCCGCGUAAGUGAAGAAGGUUGUCGGAUCGUAAAACUCUGUUGGUAGAGAAGAACGUUGGUGAGAGUGGAAAGCUCAUCAAGUGACGGUAACUACCCAGAAAGGGACGGCUAACUACGUG